Molecule: RNA transcript, 3063 nt
Organism: Biomphalaria glabrata
Lineage: Eukaryota; Metazoa; Mollusca; Gastropoda; Planorbidae
Gene name: zinc metalloproteinase/disintegrin-like
Exons: 16
Source: RefSeq, a predicted model, not a curated record
UUGAUAAACAAAUAAGAUCGAAUCCUGGAAUCUCAACCACACCUGCCGUCAGAAAUUAAUACGUAUAAAUAGUUUAACGUGUUCAUCUCCGCCCUGACUAUACACGGAGACCUGAUCAUAGGAGAUUCACGUUGUCAAAAUUAUAUCAAGACUUCGUUACAGAAAAUGGUUAACGUGCAGGCCUACGUUUUAAUGUUGGUGAUGUUGACAUUACUUCCAGAAGUUACCAGCACCAUAGUAAAUGUCAAUGUGCUAUCAAGAACUGAAGGCGGUAUUCCAGAUAGAGUGCAACUGACCUACACAAAAGGCUCCACAGCAGUUGAGCUCAAUUUGGAGCACGUCCCACACGCCACACUGAACGUUCCAGUCCACACAGUGAAAACACUGGACAGUGGUCAAGCUAGAGUCGAACAGGAGUUACUUCCACCUAGUCAGGAUAUUCAUUACUAUCAGGAUACCGUCAAUGGAGCAGCAGUGCAAAUUAACGAAAUCAAAUUGUUCGAUCAACAGAAAUCAACAUUUUCAGUGAAAGGUCACUUCCAUCACAAUGGAGAACUGCACUCCAUUGCACCUGCUCAAAGAUUUAGACGGCAAUCUUCUCCUGUGGCCAAUGUACGGCAUGUAAUCAAGAAGGCAACUCUUACAAAUAUGUCUGGGAGGGAGAUCGUGCUUCAAGGUGCAUUACUUGAAAGAGAGGCCAGACAAAGUUCUAAAUCCUUAGAAAAGGUUAUGAUCGAUGUCCUAGCUGUGGUAGAUCACAGCGCCUUCAGACGUUUUGAGAGACAAUGUCAUCACGAUAGGAACCUGACCUUGCAGAAGAUUAGGGAGCACUACACAUUUAUAGUCAACGGGGUGGACCUCAUGUAUCGCAGAAUCAAUUCAACUCUGGUCGACAUACGAGUUAAAUUGGUCAAAAUUAUCAUUAUUGAGAACUAUCAUGACUUCUCUUUGCCAUUCCCACACCACAAUGAUUCCAAACAAGUUGAAGGUUUUGAUGUUUUGAAGAAGUUGUCUCACUUUGUGAAGUCCUACAACUUGACGGAGCACAGCGAUCACGUCAUGAUGUUUGUCGGUAGAGAACUUUCAGGCGACGGUUCACCAGGUCUUUUAGGAAUUAGUUGGCUUAGUUCAAUGUGUAGUACUAAUGGUAGCAGUGUUAGUGUCGUAGAAGAUGUACAUGACUAUGACGUGAUAUUGACUGCAGCUCACGAGCUUGGACACAGUUUAUCUGCACAACACGAUCAUUGGCUUACGAAUGACUGUUUUGGAUUGGACUACUUUAUCAUGGCACCCUAUGAAAGUAGCGCCACCACUGCUGAGUCGAACCGAUUCAAUCCUUGGAUAUUUUCUGAUUGCAGUAUACAAUAUUUUGCAACAUUUAUAUCAUCCUUAUUGGAAACAGAUCAUGGUAGAACUUGUCUCACUGAGUCAGUCUCAGUCAGUCCAGAUAUUCCGGAUUUAAAAGACAAGUACUUCGGACAAGUAAUGCCCCCUGAACAGCAAUGUCGGAAUACGUAUGGCAAAGGUUCUUAUCACUGCAAAGUGGGCUAUAACAGCACAGAGAUAUGCAUUGCUUUGUACUGCUACGAUCCAAACCAAAUGGAUUGUUUCCCCCAGAGAGCUCUCAGCGGUACAGAAUGUGACAAAGGAAAGAUUUGUCGACUGGGACAUUGUGCCGAUAAUGACCACAACGUCUAGAAACCUGUCGUCCUUAAAACUAGGUCACUGAAUCUUUUCGCUCUACUAAACUAUUUUAUAUUUCAAUAACGUUACAACGAACAAAUAUCACAGUGUUUUCGGGUAUUCCCAUAAUGUAAAAAAAAAAACAACAGGCUGACUGCCACGUAAAAGAUUUCCACUUUUUGAGGAAUGUAUUUCCAUGUCUCACGUCAUCUCCCAUUCACGGAACUAGUCAAUCGGUGCCACACCUACAUUAUUAGUCUUAGUUUGAAAUAUCGAAAGUUGUUAGGUUCAUUAUAUGUCAUUUUAUUAUUCUUUUAUAUACAUUCCACUCAUGUUGUUGUACAAAUUAUUUACACCUGCUUUGGGGAUAUUUACCCCAACGCUGUGUUGAUGAUACCAUGAUCCUCUCAAGUUUAGGCUUGUGUAGAAAAAUACUUUUUUUUUUUGGGGGGGGGGGGGGUCUGACACUAAGUAUCCAGACAUAUAAAAUUGACCUGAUUAUUUGUACAAGAAUGAAACAUGAUAGGAACUAAAAGUCAAGUUGAAGGUCUUUUACGAAAUGUUUUUAAGCAAUUCCUGCCAAUAAAUCACUAGGCUCUCUUCAAACAUGUUGCGGUUUGGUUGACAGAAUGUCAGACUGUAGAAUGGUCUGUUUAAAACUUGAGUGUGUUCCACAAUAGAAAUAGACGAACUAGAGGACACUGGAAAGUAUUAAUGGUUGUAUUGGAGGAGAAGAAGUGUUAGCUCACAUUGUUUCCAUUGAAGGUUUUCUAUUUAAUAGAGAUGUGCUGCUUAAGUAUUGAGUUCAGCAAGACUUAGGUGACGUCAUCAAGCCUUGGAAUGACAUUAAUUUCAUUUUUCACUUCAUUUUAAUACGACUGUGUUUUUGUAUGUGAUUUUUUAAUUCAAUCAAAUGAUUUUCUAAGUAGCAUCGUUGUGUAACAAACAAACACACAGAUUGCUCUACAUUUCUCAAUCUCUCACAAAACAUAUCAUACAGGCAAGUUUAAGAACUAGGUCUAAGUCAGGAACAGUUCUGAACAAUCCAAUGUUACAUUGUGUCUAGUUCUGAACAAUCCAAUGUUAGAUUGUGUCUAGUUCUGAACAAUCCAAUGUUACAUUGUGUCUAGUUCUGAACAAUCCAAUGUUAGAUUGUGUCUAGUUCUGAACAAUCCAAUGUUAGAUUGUGUCUAGUUCUGAACAAUCCAAUGUUACAUUGUGUCUAGUUCUGAACAAUCCAAUGUUAGAUUGUGUCUAGUUCUGAACAAUCCAAUGUUACAUUGUGUCUAGUUCUGAACAAUCCAAUGUUAGAUUGUGUCUAGUUCUGAACAAUCCAAUGUUACAUUUUGUUAUUGUGAAUACAAUUUUGUAUUUGUCCAA